RNAcentral lists this ribosomal RNA (508 nucleotides) under uncultured bacterium. RNAcentral's name for it is "bacterial SSU rRNA". It matches the Rfam family "Bacterial small subunit ribosomal RNA", at positions 30 to 518 of the family's 1533-position model. The record is from RNAcentral.
CGAACGCUGGCGGCGUGCUUAACACAUGCAAGUCGAACGCGAAAGGGACUUCGGUCCUGAGUAAAGUGGCGCACGGGUGUGUAACGCGUAGAUAACCUGUCUUCAUGUCUGGAAUAAUACGCCAAAGGGGUACUAAUACCGGAUAUUCUUGCUUUUCAUAAGUUAUGCAAGCAAAGGUGGCCUCUGCAUAUGCUACUGCAUGAAGAGGGGUCUGCGUACCAUUAGCUAGUAGGUGGGGUAAUGGCCUACCUAGGCGACGAUGGUUAGCGGGUCUGAGAGGAUGAUCCGCCACACUGGCACUGGAACACGGGCCAGACUCCUACGGGAGGCAGCAGUGAGGAAUAUUGCGCAAUGGGGGAAACCCUGACGCAGCGACGCCGCGUGAGUGAAGGAAGGCCUUCGGGUCGUAAAGCUCUGUCAAGAGGAAAGAAGUGUACAAUGGCUAAUACCUGUUGUAUUUGACGGUACCUCUAAAGGAAGCACCGGCUAACUCCGUGCCAGCAGCCGC